UGGGGGAUAUUGCACAAUGGGCGAAAGCCUGAUGCAGCGACGCCGCGUGGGGGAUGAAGGCCUUCGGGUUGUAAACUUCUUUUGCUCUGAACAAGGCGCACCAUGGGGUGUGUUGAGUGUAGGGGUUGACUAGCGCCGGCUAACUACGUGCCAGCAGCCGCGGUAAUACGUAGGGCGCGAGCGUUGUCCGGAAUUAUUGGGCGUAAAGGGCUUGUAGGUGGCUGGUUGCGUCUGUCGUGAAAGCUCAUGGCUUAACUGUGGGUUUGCGGUGGGUACGGGCUGGCUUGAGUGCAGUAGGGGAGGCUGGAAUUCCUGGUGUAGCGGUGGAAUGCGCAGAUAUCAGGAGGAAUACCGGUGGCGAAGGCGGGUCUCUGGGCUGUUACUGACACUGAGGAGCGAAAGCAUGGGGAGCGAACAGG
Molecule: ribosomal RNA, 419 nt
Filed under: bacterium
Lineage: Bacteria
Description: partial 16S ribosomal RNA
Rfam family: Bacterial small subunit ribosomal RNA
Source: RNAcentral